This is a long non-coding RNA of Oreochromis aureus, 2745 nucleotides long. RefSeq lists it as uncharacterized. Lineage: Eukaryota; Metazoa; Chordata; Actinopteri; Cichliformes; Cichlidae. The transcript has 4 exons. The record is from RefSeq and is a predicted model, not a curated record.
GUCCUCUUUUCCCCGGACAUGUCCACUUUUCACGUUCUGUCCGGGGCGUCCGGGGGGAUUUUCGAGAUUGAUAAAAACGUCCGGCUUUUCCUAUAUUCCGACAGAGGACCCAUGUGUGUGACAUCAUCCCCGAACUGCUGCUGAGCGCUUGUAAGUUGUUCUGCGCUCUCCGACGGGACAGACAGCCCGCAGGAUGAUGUUUAAAAGAUCCUAAAACGCAAGUGCAUCUUUUCAGACGAACUCCAAAAGAAAUUUCCCUCGUACCGACCCAGUACUGUGAUCUUAUCUGCCUUGAGGAACCUCCAAGAAAAGAUCAGGAGGUUGGAGAUGGAAAAAGGACAUGCAGAGUGGAGUCUGCAUGCACUGGGAAAAGAUGCUUCACAAACACUUGUGCAGAAUGGUGAUAUUACACCGAGAUUCUUAAAUGAUCAAAAAGACCCAGAAAGACAGAAGUGCCCAGUCCAACUGCGUAUGAGUAUGUGGAUAUAUAGUGAUAAUAAUUUAAUUACUUUUAAUAUUGCCAUUAAACAUAAAAAAAUCCAUGGCAGUGACUCCAGAUUACUCACAGCUUGUUUUUCUUAAAGCAUGGUUUGAGUGAAAAACAAACAUCAACAACAAAACCUUAAGUUAAUUGCUCAAGACCUGCAGCAGUCCAAUGAGGAGGCUCACUGGUGUCACAACUUGGGUAGUCACUCUUCCUGUUACAAAUGACGACGACAUAGCACUGAUGAGGCUCACUAGGUCGAUCACAGUGUCAGAUACCAGAAGACCAGUUUGUCUGCCUCAUAAAGACUAUAUCAUUCCAGCUAGAACCUACAUGACUGUGAUGGGUGGGGAUACCAGUCGGAAAAUGGUGAGGAAUCCUACAUGUAACCUAUUCUUUAUUAACUACUACCUGAAACAGAAAAGAUACUUUUGCCUGUCUAUGAGUGUCAAACAUUGUGUGCUUGUGUACUGCCUUCAGGUGCAGUUGACAGCUGACAUUGCCCUUUGUAAUGAUUUGUGCAUCCCUAAAUAAAGGCUCGCUUUUUGUUAAUGUCAUCACUUUGUCUCCAUUGUCUUCACUCGGGUCCACACACACACUCUCCGGCCUUAGCGCAGAACAGUGGUUCUGCUCGAGGCUCAGCUACCUAGCCUGCCGACUCCCUCUUCCUGGAGGAAGCGGCACUCCCGCCGCCAUCACUCUGUGCCUGCUGAGUAACCCCCGGUGGUGGGUGAAAGUGACUAUUUUUCUCAUGCACCUCCCGUGCCUACAAAAGUUAGGACUAAUAACUUCACCUCUAAAACUUUAAAGACUGCUAGCUGUGCUGGACAAUGUGUUUUCCGAGCCUUUUCCUCUGCCUACCCAUGUUUCUGUUCCUAGGGCGCCUGCGGUCCAGCCUUCCCCUGCACCCAUAUCAGUUCCCUGAUUGAGGGUGGCUAGGGCCCAGAUGUUCCCUGUUCCUGCUCCCAGGGCAGCAGUGCUUCAGUCUUUUCCUGCACCUGUACCAGUGCCUCAGGUGAGGGUAGCCGGCGCUCAGCUGGUUCCUCCUUCAGUCUCCAGGCUGGCUGAGGCUCCCUUCGUCCCUAUACCCAAACCUGGUCCUUGGGUGGGGACAGCAAACACCCAGCCGUUACCUGUGCCUGUUCCUACUUCCAGGGUUAAGGCAGCCAUGACCCAGCUUACUCCUGCACCUGUACCUACUCCUCGGGUGGGAGUGGCUAGGGCCCGGCAGAUGCCUACACCCAUUUCUGUCUCCACUGGAGGCUCAGGGGAGCCCGUCCAGCCACCUCCUUUGCCAGCUGGAGGCUCAGGAAAGUCAGUGCAGCCGCCAGCAGCUUCUAAGCAACCACCAGUUCCAACACCAGCUCAACCACCUGCUCCGCCACCUGUUCAAGUGUAGCUUCCCCACUGCCACCUGUGGCUCCCACACUGCCGCCUGUCUCUGCUGGAGGCUCAGCUGAGUCCGCCCACCAUUUCACCUUGUCAGCUAGAAGCUCAGGAGAGCUGUCACAGCCGCCUGCUCCAUCAGAGGUCCUCACUCCAGCUAUUCCUGCCAUACAGCCCAAGGAACUUCGGCUUAUAAUGGAUUUUUUAUUCUAGGGGGACAGUGGAGGCCCUGUGGUGUACCACAGCACCUCAAGAUGGAAUCUGGUAGGAGUGGUGAGCUGAGGUGUUGGCUGUGCCCGGAAGAGAAAGCCAGGUGUUUACACCUACAUGGAAAUAAUGCUCAACUGGAUUCAAACAGUCAGUGGGGUACUGCAUAUGGAUUAAUAAUAGACCCAUGAAUGUUGAAAGGAAGUCACAUCGCAACAGUGUUUGUCCCUUCAUUGACUAAGAAUUUGCCUCAAAAAUAUUUUCAAAAUAAUACUGUAAUGUAAUUCAUACAGUCCCUAAGAUGAUUUUUAUUUCAUCUCAACAUAAAAACCAAUGAUGUCAUCCACUGUGACAAACAACCACCACGAGAAUCCAGUGUGGUCUACCUCUGAUAGAUUGCGAAAGUUAAACAAACCUGUUUUUUCAUAAGCGUCAAAGUAGUCACACAUCCACAGCGACCUUAAAAUACUCUCACUAUAUCCAGAAUAUUCAGACUAGUUUUGCACUCAAGAAAAACUCAUUUGAACAGGAAAUCAACCUGAAUUUGUUUUAAAACUGUUUCUUUACUGAAAAAUGUAGUUUGUUGUAUCAUAUAUAAAAAUAGUUGGACUUGAGUAAGAGUGCCAUGGGGGUUAAUAUUUGUGAAUAUUUUCCUUUUUGUUGUUUAA